This 492-nucleotide ribosomal RNA is filed under the name uncultured bacterium. Its description in RNAcentral is "partial 16S ribosomal RNA". It matches the Rfam family "Bacterial small subunit ribosomal RNA", at positions 29 to 507 of the family's 1533-position model. The record is from RNAcentral.
AGUGAACGCUGGCGGUAGGCCUAACACAUGCAAGUCGAACGGCAGCACAGUAAGAGCUUGCUCUUACGGGUGGCGAGUGGCGGGCGGGUGAGGAAUACAUCGGAAUCUACUUUUUCGUGGGGGAUAACGUAGGGAAACUUACGCUAAUACCGCAUACGACCUACGGGUGAAAGCAGGGGAUCUUCGGACCUUGCGCGAUUGAAUGAGCCGAUGUCGGAUUAGCUAGUUGGCGGGGUAAGGGCCCACCAAGGCGACGAUCCGUAGCUGGUCUGAGAGGAUGAUCAGCCACACUGGAACUGAGACACGGUCCAGACUCCUACGGGAGGCAGCAGUGGGGAAUAUUGGACAAUGGGCGCAAGCCUGAUCCAGCCAUACCGCGUGGGUGAAGAAGGCCUUCGGGUUGUAAAGCCCUUUUGUUGGGAAAGAAAAGCAGCAGGUUAAUACCCCGCUGUUCUGACGGUACCCAAUGAAUAAGCACCGGCUAACUUCGUG